UACGUAGGGGGCAAGCGUUGUCCGGAUUUAUUGGGCGUAAAGAGCGUGUAGGCGGCCAGGUAGGUCAGCUGUGAAAACUCGAGGCUCAACCUCGAGACGUCGGUUGAAACCACCUGGCUAGAGUCCGGAAGAGGAGAGUGGAAUUCCUGGUGUAGCGGUGAAAUGCGUAGAUAUCGGGAGGAACACCAGUGGCGAAGGCGACUUCCUGGCCUGUUCUUGACGCUGAGGCGCGAAAGCUAGGGGAGCAAACGGG
Molecule: ribosomal RNA, 253 nt
Filed under: uncultured bacterium
Lineage: Bacteria
Description: partial 16S ribosomal RNA
Rfam family: Bacterial small subunit ribosomal RNA
Source: RNAcentral